This 309-nucleotide RNase P RNA is filed under the name Thiobacillus sp. Its description in RNAcentral is "RNase P RNA component class A". It matches the Rfam family "Bacterial RNase P class A". From Rfam's summary of the family: Ribonuclease P (RNase P) is a ubiquitous endoribonuclease, found in archaea, bacteria and eukarya as well as chloroplasts and mitochondria. Its best characterised activity is the generation of mature 5'-ends of tRNAs by cleaving the 5'-leader elements of precursor-tRNAs. The record is from RNAcentral. Lineage: Bacteria; Pseudomonadati; Pseudomonadota; Betaproteobacteria; Nitrosomonadales; Thiobacillaceae.
AAAGCCGGUCAGACAACCGCUGCCACGCGAGCCCUCUUCGGGGGGCAUAAAUGGGAGAGGAAAGUCCGGGCUCCACAGAGCAGGAUGCCGGCUAACGGCCGGCCGCCGCGAGGCGAGGAACAGGGCCACAGAGACGAGCGUAUUAAGUUACGGUGAAACGCGGUAACCUCCAUCCGGAGCAACACCAAAUAGGCAGACGAUGACGCGGCUCGCCGAGUCUGCGGGUAGGUGGCUGGAGCCGGCCAGCAAUGACCGGCCUAGAGGAAUGGUUGUCCACGACAGAACCCGGCUUAUCGACCGACUUUCCAU